AUGCCUGCGGCUGUUGCUGCAGCUGUAUGGCUUGCACCGCUUCAGUGAGGCCUCUGACCUGCUGAACUAGUAGGUCGAAUUGCUCUGCGCCAACCACCGUUGCCAGAGGAGGAGGAAAAGCUUGAAAAAUUAGAGGUGAGGCCGGAGCCUGAGAUCUGGCCAUGGGGGCCGUGGUUCACUGAGUGGAUGCCCUACGGGGAGGCAUCGGGCGAAGAUCUAAUGGAGAA
This 227-nucleotide long non-coding RNA is filed under the name Elaeis guineensis (African oil palm). Its description in RNAcentral is "long non-coding RNA (EGUI_LNC052614)". Lineage: Eukaryota; Viridiplantae; Streptophyta; Magnoliopsida; Arecales; Arecaceae. The record is from RNAcentral.